UCCUCUCCAACCGUAACGGCCACGGCUUCUACAGCUCCUCCUCCGCCCAAAAAGACGUCGAAAGAGUCUAUGCAAUCGGGCUCACCCCGAUUCUUGCGGUAGUUGCCUCUGGUGAUGUGCCCACCUCCAAUCCUGAAUAUCUUAAGUGGUUUGAUGUCAUCAACUCAUCGUCAGCUACCUGAAUCAUCUCCACCAUUACUGUUGCGGGUCUUAGAGACCCCCAUCACGUCGUCAGCUAAUAAGGUGCCAAUCCAAGCUGGAGCAGAGUCAAGAGGGCAUACACCCAGUUCACCAUUGUAGCUCGCCUUGGCUAGACUGUCAGCCACGCAGUUCUGUUCACGGUAAACAUGAUUUUUACACCACAAUUUCCAACUUUUCUACAAACUUUCUGCAGUCUGAGAGCACUCCAGCAAGAGGGUCUUCAGACUCACUUCGCUCAAGCUUCGGUUUGGUAUAGAUGAUAGAAUUUAGGAUUAAUUGUAGCAAUGGUCUUAAACUAUACCCUUAGUUAUAUUUUGGUCCAAAAAUAGCUGCAGAGGUCCCCCAAUUAUGUAUGGUGUUGCAUUACUAGUCC
Prunus dulcis (almond) is the source of this 574-nucleotide long non-coding RNA. RefSeq lists it as uncharacterized. The transcript is spliced from 2 exons. The record is from RefSeq and is a predicted model, not a curated record. NCBI's taxonomy places the organism in Eukaryota, Viridiplantae, Streptophyta, Magnoliopsida, Rosales, Rosaceae.